Molecule: long non-coding RNA, 469 nt
Filed under: Prunus persica (peach)
Lineage: Eukaryota; Viridiplantae; Streptophyta; Magnoliopsida; Rosales; Rosaceae
Description: long non-coding RNA (PPER_LNC007877)
Source: RNAcentral
UAAAAAUCAGUAUGUAUCACUUGUUUCUAAUUAUCAUUAGUAUGUAUGGGUAAGAGAAAGGUAAAAGACAUUGAAUUCAUUAAUUUCCUUUUGGUAAUAGUGUGUCGUCUUAUGACAAAUGAUGAGAAUGAGAAGAGGAAAAGGAAGAUGUAUGUUGUUAAAUUUCUUGAUUACCUUGCACUUCUAGCUGCUUCAACCUCUUCGCAACCAACUGCUUCAACUUGCUGGCAGCCAACUUCUUCAUUUGGAUCGUAAUAACCUAUUCCUCCUAAUCUUGCCCCAAGAGAAUGAUUAUAGUGAUGAUGAGGAGACAUGUAUAUGUCCAACCCAAAAAUGUCGUUCAACUUGAAAUCAUCAUGUCCUAUUCAGUUAUUGCUUUACAACAUCAAGAAUACUAUGCAGUGUUAUUUCAUACUCGUUGUAUUUGUUGUUUGUCUCCUUACACUUAGCUUCCUGAUUGAGGAAAAUC